Small nucleolar RNA from Echinops telfairi (small Madagascar hedgehog), 220 nucleotides. RefSeq annotates it as small nucleolar RNA U3. NCBI's taxonomy places the organism in Eukaryota, Metazoa, Chordata, Mammalia, Afrosoricida, Tenrecidae. The record is from RefSeq and is a predicted model, not a curated record. The transcript has a single exon.
CAGACAACCGAAACAGGGAUCAUUUCUAUAGUGUGUGACUAGAGAAGUUUCUCUGGUCGUGUAGAGCACCAAAAUCCACGAGGAGGAGGAGGCGCAGCAUUCUCUCCUGAGCGUGUAGCCGGCUCCUGGCGCAGCCUCACUGCAGCUGCCCUUUGCCAUUGCUGAUCGUUCUUCUCCGCCCUCAUGCGAAGCGAGAGGGAGAGAAUGCAGUCUGAAUGGC